GAUGAACGCUGGCGGCGUGCCUAAUACAUGCAAGUCGAGCGAACAGACGAGGAGCUUGCUCCUCUGACGUUAGCGGCGGACGGGUGAGUAACACGUGGAUAACCUACCUAUAAGACUGGGAUAACUUCGGGAAACCGGAGCUAAUACCGGAUAAUAUAUUGAACCGCAUGGUUCAAUAGUGAAAGACGGUUUUGCUGUCACUUAUAGAUGGAUCCGCGCCGCAUUAGCUAGUUGGUAAGGUAACGGCUUACCAAGGCAACGAUGCGUAGCCGACCUGAGAGGGUGAUCGGCCACACUGGAACUGAGACACGGUCCAGACUCCUACGGGAGGCAGCAGUAGGGAAUCUUCCGCAAUGGGCGAAAGCCUGACGGAGCAACGCCGCGUGAGUGAUGAAAGUCUUCGGAUCGUAAAACUCUGUUAUUAGGGAAGAACAAAUGUGUAAGUAACUAUGCACGUCUUGACGGUACCUAAUCAGAAAACCACGGCUAACUACGUG
Molecule: ribosomal RNA, 497 nt
Filed under: uncultured bacterium
Lineage: Bacteria
Description: partial 16S ribosomal RNA
Rfam family: Bacterial small subunit ribosomal RNA
Source: RNAcentral